This is a small nuclear RNA of Pteronotus mesoamericanus, 107 nucleotides long. Lineage: Eukaryota; Metazoa; Chordata; Mammalia; Chiroptera; Mormoopidae. The record is from RefSeq and is a predicted model, not a curated record.
GUACUCACUUUGGGAGCACCUAGACUAAAAUUCAAAUGAUACAAGGAAGAUUAACAUGGUCUCUAUGCAAAGAUGUUAUACAAAUUUAUUAAGCAUUCUAUAUUUUA